Long non-coding RNA from Oenanthe melanoleuca, 1525 nucleotides. RefSeq lists it as uncharacterized. The record is from RefSeq and is a predicted model, not a curated record. Lineage: Eukaryota; Metazoa; Chordata; Aves; Passeriformes; Muscicapidae. The transcript is spliced from 3 exons.
UGUUGUUUCUUUUGGUUGUUUUUUUUUUUUGUUUUGUUUUGUUUUGUUUUUGUGUAGGCCAAGAAACAAAUUCAGCUUUAAUUGUCAUAGGAGCUGCUAGAGAAGACAAUCUAAGUGUCAUCAGUUCUGUACAGAGAAAGCAAUGUGGAGCUGCUCUGAGGUGCAGCUAUAUUGUGUGCAGGGAGAAAAAGUUACAGAAAAAAAAAUAUACUUGGGUUAUUUUAUCUUUUGAUUCUUUAAAAAAAUAAUCUAGCCACUUUCUAUAAAUAUGAGUUCCAAGAUGAAUUUUGGUACCUUUUUCUGCUUGUGUUGCAAACAGGACACCUUGAUAAGCGUGAUUCCUAGAGCUGAAGGGAGACACCACAGCCAGACAAGGUGUGCAACCACCUGACUUAUUUCUUCAACCACCUGAUUUAUUUCUAGUACAAUUAGAACAAACAGCCCUUUCCUUUUUAAUAAAGAUAAAGCACCUAGUUUAAAAAUCACGAGGAGGUGAGCAAAGAACCUGCUGUGCCCCUGGAUUCUGCAUUUACCACUUUGCUAAAGAGAGCCUAUGAGAGAGGAAGCAAUACCCUACUGGAAGGUGGUGUUCAGACAAAAUUGGCUUCCUGGCUCCCACCUGACCAGCUUUUGUUGGGAGUAAAGCAUGUGCUGUUAUACCUGAAAUCCACAGUGGAGAACUUCAGCAGGGUAAGAGCAAUAUUGUAAUAAUAUUGUGGUUAUGUUUGAUUUAUUUUCAUGUAGAAGGUACAAAUGACUUAGCUGUUCAAACUUAGGUUCCAGUUCUGUAGCUCUUUUUUCUGUGCUUGUCUCUGAGGCUGCACAGCACCGUACAAAACUGCAUGUAAUUUGUAAACAAAUGCCAGUUCUUAUUAUUGAGGAUUUGCUUUGGAUUUACUUUGCAUGGGUUACCUUGCUGAUCGGUGUGAGUGCAAAUAACCUCGAGAUUUUAAUCCAGCUCCUGGGUCUCCCCAGGAAGCCUUUGCAGAGAGUAAAAUUCACUGGCCUGUGUACCUCCAAAUGUUAUAUAUAUAAUGUAUAAAUGAAUAUAUAUAUGUGUAAAUGAAAUUCUAUCACUAUUUAUUUGGCAACCUGAGACUUCUCUUAGAAUCAGGUUCCUAUUAAGGGAGGUGGUUCCUUCCCCCAGAAGAGGUUGUAAUCUAAGUAGUUCUUAGUUAACUCCUAUUCCUGCUGUAUAAUUACCUGUCUGCUCCCAUCCUCCUCUUUUCUUCACUUCCAACAUGUCUUUGUUUUCAUAGCUUGGUAAAACUUUGGGUCCUCAGCUUGUUGAUCUCUGUGUGGACCUGCUGAGCAUCUUGUUGUGCCGGGACAAUGAAAUAAAGCUGGAGCAGCAGCAGAAGCAGGAGGAGCAUCAGGCUGAUGGGAUCUCUUCAUGGAUGAGGAGCCUCUGAUGACAGAAGUGUCUUCAAAUGACAAGACCCUGGAGGAUGCACUCACCUUGAUUUUCAGACAUCCUGCACUGGAGAGCUGGUUCCUGGCGUUGGAGCUGCGCUCUAUUCCUCAG